Long non-coding RNA from Sardina pilchardus (European sardine), 1336 nucleotides. RefSeq lists it as uncharacterized. The record is from RefSeq and is a predicted model, not a curated record. The transcript is spliced from 6 exons. NCBI's taxonomy places the organism in Eukaryota, Metazoa, Chordata, Actinopteri, Clupeiformes, Clupeidae.
CAGACAUAUUUUUUCCAACAUCUCUUCCGUCUUUCUAGUUUCUUUUUUUUUUCUGGCAUCAUUUUUUCUGUUAAAUUACUUUUUUAUUCUCUUUAUCAAUCCAUCCUUUAAAGGACCUUCUGGAAGUAUUCCUCAGCCGGCAGCUUAUCAAUGGAGAGUUCAGCUUCCCUUGCUCCCUGCUGUAUUUGUUUAACACUUAUCCAUAUUCUCAGUGGCCUCCCUGUCAACCUCUGUGUCCCUAGUCCCGUAUCUGUGAUCGGAAACCAGCCGAGCUUUCCCUCUCCCUCAGUGGAGGGGCCUUCUCCACCCAUCGUUGCCUGCCUGGAUGAGAGGUGAUGGCAAUCCUUAUCCUCAGAGCAGGUCGACAAUUAACACUGAUGGAGGCGACUUUAACUGGCAGACAAAAAGGUCCUUACCAGCAUGACUAUGUACUUCAAUGCGAUCUACUCCAGAGAAAGGAAAAAAUGAGGAGACGGCCAGUUAAGUCACCCAUGUCAGAUCAGGCCAGGUCUCUGCCUCUGUUCUGCUUCUGAUGUGGCACAGCUGCAUAGGACACCAGCCACAUGCCUUCUGUCGCUUUGACUCUGUCAUCGCUGGUCUCCUCUCUAUGGUGCAUCACCAUCAUCGUCAUCAUUGUCGUUGUCUCCUCUCAGAGCUACAGGAGCUUGAGGGGUUAAUUCGACAUGCACACGUUUUAUGGCCCCUCAAGAGUGAUGUCUGCAGACAGGGCUUAUGCCGAGGUGGAAUUUACCUAACUCCAUUGGUCCCAUGUAGGAGAAAAACAGGAUUUGAGAGCGGUGUGCAUCCUCCAACCCCCCGCGAGUCCCCUCUGUUCUAAGUGAGUUGGCUUGUCGGCGAGCACUUGAGAGAGGUAAGGGUGGCAGGGGUGGUGAUGGAGGAGGAUGCGAAAGGUUGUUGUGCGUGUUUGGGGGUGCCAGUUGCACACAAGACAUGUGAAAAUUUACUGCAAAUGAGACAACAGAGGUAAAUCCAUUUUUAUUCAAAUUACUGUCAUCGUACAUUACCACACCUCCUGUAAACAUUUUGCCUCAGACAGUGUGACAGGAUAUUAUUAUUUGCUAGAUUACACUAUUAAGCCAUUAGCAUGUCACCUCCUGUUUGAAACAAUGGCGGGGCUCGCCACCGCAUAAUAAGAUGAGGUAAAGAGAGACGCCGAGGUGUCAGGAGCUUGACAAAUGAAGGCAGGGGAUGCAAAGAGGAAGUCAUAGAGGGGAGCUCAGGUACUCUGCUACCUCUGUGAUGGAGCAUGAAACACCCAUGUUUAAACAGGACCUCUCAUAGUCCCCCCUGGCUCUUCUCUCUCUCUCUUUUUCUC